CUGAUAUGUGAUCAGCCAGUUCCAGAUGAAGUGGACGGUGCUCGUCAUCCUCACAAGGUUUCAGGAGCCCCACAGGGAGAUCAAAAAGUUGCAACCACACACUCCGUCCUUCCUUAGACCCACAGCGGAGAAUUCUGUUGUACUUCUUCCUCUCAAGAUGAUUUUAGUUUCCUUAUAGAAAAUACAGAGCUCAGUAGAUACUGCAGGCUCUAAAUUAAUUUCUGAAAAGCACAUGUCACCCCCACUC
Molecule: non-coding RNA, 247 nt
Organism: Vicugna pacos (alpaca)
Lineage: Eukaryota; Metazoa; Chordata; Mammalia; Artiodactyla; Camelidae
Source: RefSeq, a predicted model, not a curated record